UACAGGGGGUGCAAGCGUUGUUCGGAAUUACUGGGCGUAAAGGGCGUGUAGGCGGUUUAGCAAGUCAGAUGUGAAAUCCCGGGGCUUAACUCCGGAAGUGCAUUUGAAACUGCUAGGCUAGAGUGCUGUAGAGGAUGGUGGAAUACCCAGUGGAGAGGUGAAAUUCGUAGAUAUUGGGUGGAACACCGGUGGCGAAGGCGACCAUCUGGGCAGCAACUGACGCUGAGGCGCGAGAGCGUGGGGAGCAAACAGG
RNAcentral lists this ribosomal RNA (253 nucleotides) under uncultured bacterium. Its description in RNAcentral is "partial 16S ribosomal RNA". It matches the Rfam family "Bacterial small subunit ribosomal RNA", at positions 524 to 776 of the family's 1533-position model. The record is from RNAcentral.